GGAAACCUUCCUGGAUGUGAAGUGACCACUCAGCCAGGAACCUUUGGCCCUUGUUCCAUCUCUGCGGUUCAUGCUCUGGGCUAGGGAAGCUGAGGUCAAUGAUUUCACCAACACGGUCACAGACUAAGAGGAAGCUUCAGGAAAACCCCAAGAAAGCUCAAAAGAGAGAACUCAUCCUCCUGACCAUCUGCACUACUUGAGGUUAAGAAUUUGUGUGCCCCUUUGAGACAUC
Molecule: long non-coding RNA, 232 nt
Filed under: Bos taurus (domestic cattle)
Lineage: Eukaryota; Metazoa; Chordata; Mammalia; Artiodactyla; Bovidae
Description: long non-coding RNA NONBTAT024769
Source: RNAcentral